GGGUGUUUAGCUCAGCUGGUUAGAGCGUUCGGUUCACAUCCGAGAGGUCGGUGGUUCGAGUCCACUAACGCCCA
RNAcentral lists this transfer RNA (74 nucleotides) under bacterium. RNAcentral's name for it is "tRNA-Val". It matches the Rfam family "tRNA". From Rfam's summary of the family: Transfer RNA (tRNA) molecules are approximately 80 nucleotides in length. Their secondary structure includes four short double-helical elements and three loops (D, anti-codon, and T loops). RNAcentral also lists the same sequence under 2 other names. The record is from RNAcentral.